GGAGGCGAAAGGGGGCUGGUGUCCCUCCCGGUCUUCAAAACCGGUGCGUCGGCGAGAGCCGGCGGGCGGGUUCGAUUCCCGUCCGCCUCCG
This 91-nucleotide transfer RNA is filed under the name Actinomycetota bacterium. RNAcentral describes it as "tRNA-Sec". It matches the Rfam family "Selenocysteine transfer RNA". Lineage: Bacteria; Bacillati; Actinomycetota. The record is from RNAcentral.